UACGUAGGGUGCAAGCGUUGUCCGGAAUUAUUGGGCGUAAAGAGCUCGUAGGCGGUCUGUCGCGUCGGCUGUGAAAUCCCGGAGCUCAACUCCGGGUCUGCAGUCGAUACGGGCAAACUGGAGUACUGCAGGGGAGACUGGAAUUCCUGGUGUAGCGGUGAAAUGCGCAGAUAUCAGGAGGAACACCAGUGGCGAAGGCGAUCACCUGGGGUUGUUCUGACGCUGAGGAGCGAAAGCUAGGGGAGCAAACGGG
RNAcentral lists this ribosomal RNA (253 nucleotides) under uncultured bacterium. Its description in RNAcentral is "partial 16S ribosomal RNA". It matches the Rfam family "Bacterial small subunit ribosomal RNA", at positions 524 to 776 of the family's 1533-position model. The record is from RNAcentral.